GAAGCAGUUUGGCAAUGAACUGUGGAGGUUAUGGAAAAGCAAAUGUAGGCAUAAGUAACGAUAAGGCGGGUGAGAAACCCGCCCACCGAAAGACCAAGGUUUCCUGAUCAACGUUAAUCGGAUCAGGGUCAGUCGGGACCUAAGGCGCACCCGAAGGGGGCAAGCCGAUGGACAACUGGUUAAUAUUCCAGUACUCUUCAUAACUGCGAUGUGGUGACGGAGUAGUGACACUGCCGCGAACUGACGGAAUAGUUCGUUGAAAGGCGUAGGUAUUGGGGUUGUAGGCAAAUCCGCAACUCUAGCUGAAACCCAAUAGUACAGCAAAGCUCCGGUGGCGCUGAUAGAGCAGGUAAACAGACUUCCAAGAAAACCCGCUAAGCUUCAGGUUAUGAAGACCCGUACCGCAAACCGACACAGGUGGUCGAGGAGAGAAUCCUAAGGUGCUCGAGUGAGUCAUGGCUAAGGAACUCGGCAAAAUGGCCCUGUAACUUCGGGAGAAGGGGCGCUGUCUCUGAGAAGAGCAGCCGCAGUGAAAAGGCCCAGGCGACUGUUUAACAAAAACAUAUGGCUUUGCAAAAUCGCAAGAUGAAGUAUAAGGCCUGACACCUGCCCGGUGCUGGAAGGUUAAGAGGGGAUGUCAUCGCAAGAGAAGCAUUGAAUCGAAGCCCCAGUAAACGGCGGCCGUAACUAUAACGGUCCUAAGGUAGCGAAAUUCCUUGUCGGGUAAGUUCCGACCUGCACGAAUGGUGUAACGAUCUGGGCGCUGUCUCAGCCAUGAGCUCGGUGAAAUUGUGGUAUCGGUGAAGACGCCGAUUACCCGCAACGGGACGGAAAGACCCCAUGCACCUUCACUAUAGCUUAACAUUGAGAUUGGGUACAGGAUGUGUAGGAUAGGCGGGAGAUGUUGAAGUGGCUUCGCCAGGAGUCAUGGAAUCAACCUUGAAAUACCGCCCUUUCUGUAUCCGGUUUCUAACUCCUUUAUGAGGAGGACAUUGUUUGGUGGGUAGUUUGACUGGGGUGGUCGCCUCCAAAAAGGUAACGGAGGCUUUCAAAGGUAAGCUCAGUACGCUUGGUAACCGUACGUGGAGUGCAAUGGCAUAAGCUUGCUUGACUGUGAGACCUACAAGUCGAACAGGGUCGAAAGACGGACAUAGUGAUCCGGUGGUUCUGUAUGGAAGGGCCAUCGCUCAAAGGAUAAAAGGUACGCUGGGGAUAACAGGCUGAUCUCCCCCAAGAGCUCAUAUCGACGGGGAGGUUUGGCACCUCGAUGUCGGCUCGUCACAUCCUGGGGCUGGAGAAGGUCCCAAGGGUUGGGCUGUUCGCCCAUUAAAGUGGCACGCGAGCUGGGUUCAGAACGUCGCGAGACAGUUCGGUCCCUAUCUGUUGUGGGCGUUGGAAGUUUGAGUGGAUCUGACCUUAGUACGAGAGGACCGGGUUGGACAGACCUCUGGUGAACCUGUUAUGCCGCCAGGUGUACGGCAGGGUAGCUACGUCUGGAAUAGAUAAGCGCUGAAAGCAUCUAAGUGCGAAACUAGCCACGAGAUGAGACUUCCUUAUAGGGUCGUAGGAGAUGACUACGUUGAUAGGCCAUAGGUGUAAAGGUUGAGAGACCAAAGCCAAGUGGUACUAAUAGCCCGAAGCUUUCUCAAG
RNAcentral lists this ribosomal RNA (1650 nucleotides) under Sphingobacterium sp. 2149. Its description in RNAcentral is "partial 23S ribosomal RNA". It matches the Rfam family "Bacterial large subunit ribosomal RNA", at positions 1252 to 2925 of the family's 2925-position model. The record is from RNAcentral. Lineage: Bacteria; Pseudomonadati; Bacteroidota; Sphingobacteriia; Sphingobacteriales; Sphingobacteriaceae.